Danaus plexippus (monarch butterfly) is the source of this 5837-nucleotide RNA transcript. RefSeq lists it as uncharacterized. The record is from RefSeq and is a predicted model, not a curated record. NCBI's taxonomy places the organism in Eukaryota, Metazoa, Arthropoda, Insecta, Lepidoptera, Nymphalidae. The transcript is spliced from 10 exons.
AUAACAUUCCUUUUUCGUUCCGUAAACCUUCGCAUUCGUUGUAGUUCUGUCGUGUGUAAUCACGACGAAUGUAGUUGUAAACUUAGAACAUAUUUUUUUAUAAGUGCUCUCGUUCCACUUUUCGUUAAUACUUAUUAUUUUCUCAUAUCUAUUCAUCUUUGUGCUGUGCUACAUAAUCGACUGUAUAACGUAGUGAAACAAAGGCUGUGUUGGAAUUAUGGUUUUGUGUUAUGAUGUCAUUAAUUAAUCCUUGAAAAAAUAUGAGUGUAAGUGUCGAAGACGUUUCGAGUCCUUUAUCUGAAGGGCAGAGCAGUGCUCUGGAUGAUGAAACGAAAUCCGAAGCUGAGAAUAAAAGCGAGGAUGUUGAGGCAGGUCAAAAAUCGGAGCCCACUACCCCGAAGCCACAUCCUAUGGCCUUCACGAUUGACUUUGGACAGGCGAAACAAUUCGAUAAUCGCAGACUGGAGGAGCUAGCUAAGAAGUCACAGGCUAGACAUCAAAGAGUUCAAUCCAUGUCCGCAGGUCAAUCGAGACAGAGUCCUAUAUCUCAUAGACCACCUAUGAGCGGCAAAUUACCCAGAAAAGCUCAGGGUUACAAUUCAGAAGGCUACUUCUCGUCAGAUCAGGAAGACAGUGGUGUCUCGAGUUCCGUUAAACUCCGAAGUAGCCCAUUAGUUGGUGCUGAUAGACCGAAUAUAACAAGCCCUAUAACAAACAGACUAAUUCGAUCGCCAGUAAACGAAAGCAAACUUAUGUCCAAAAGUCCUAUAGUUGAUAGCAUAAUGUCCAGAAGUGAUAACUACACGCACACUCUUAAUCUACCCUUGAAAAACGCUAAUAGUUCCUACUUGAGAGACGUCCAUAGAUCGCCAAGUUACGGUAAUAUCAAUUGCAAUAAACUGCCCAUGGAUAUCAUUGACGCCAGCCCCGAGGGCGCAAUGUUGACUGACAUCUCUAGUCCCGAAUUAGACAUUCUCACCCCCGAUAAUGGGUUGUCAACCCCUGAACAUUCAAAGAGUCCGCUACGAAAGAGCAGGGCUUCGUCAGCGACCCCAGAUUUAUUGUUCAGGAAGUGCCCCCAAAAAUCCGAACCGCUGUAUAUUGAUGAUGAAGUCGAUGGAGAGUCAAACCAUUCAUCAACAGGUACAUACACAAUUGAGUGUGAUAAUUAUACCGAAGAACAGAAAGCUAGAAUGAGUAUCGACAGAACUUUUGGUGUGGAACAGCCAAAAACUGUGCCAGAUACAUUGAAAUGUACUUCAGUGGACCGGGAUCCUGAAAUAAUAUUUGACUUCCCAAAUCCUAGAGUCAUAACAAAAGAGCCGAGACGAGAUGUCUGUCUCCGUAAUCCGGUGACAAGCAAAGCUGAUAAUGUACAAAAUAAAUUAUCAAAUGAUCGGAAUGUUCUGGAAAUAUCAUGCUGCUAUGAAUCUCCCAAUGAUGAUCUGGCUCUCCAAACAUCAAAACAAAUCAAAUCUACAAGAAGCUAUUUGGAGAAGAUAAAGAAUAGAGUUAGAACAAUAACGGAGAAGACAUUCUCCAAGUCACCACCAAAGUUCGAAGAAGAUGCUGAUCUCGGUACAUUCACAUCCGUCACAACUUCUGGGGUACUCAGCUCGAAGUAUCCAAUCAAAGUGGAAAUGCCAAGUAGGAGGCGCUGUAGUCUGACAAAAUCGGAAAUUGAUCGGACAGAUUACAUCCACAGGUUGUCGAGGGAAUCCUCGGUGCCUGUGAAUUUACCAAGCAACAAGAACAUUCUAGAAGACACCAAAUUCGAGAGCACAGCACUCAAAAACGCCCAGAAAGCCCUGAAAGAUGAAGUCAAUCUAACAUCAGAUCCGUUGGUCGGCAAACUGUCCUAUCUAAGCUUGAACAGGUGCAAGGGUGACAAGACCUGGAUUCAGGAUUGGGCGGACAGCGUCAAGAAAUACAACAAUAAUGUGCUGACAGAUGAAGCAGAUCUCAAUGCCACCUUCUCCAUAGAUGACCGUCCUCCGAUCAGCCCAAGAUUGAUACCAACAAAACCCCGAAGUCCGCAUGGAACACCAACAAAGAUCCCGAGCCCCGUAGGGACUCUUCUACACCGUAGAACUCCGGAUCUCAUCCCGCCUCAAGACACGGAAUCCUAUUUGGUGAAGACGCAAAAUGCUAUCACGAAUUUACAAGCGAAGCUGCACUCCACCAAGAAUACUUACAUUCCGAAUCCGCUUACAACAAGUCUUGUCAGCGAGAAGACACUGGUGUCACGACUUCCAUUAUCCCAGCUAAGCAGAUCCAACUCGCUAAACUAUCGUCUCAGACGGAAAGAAACUUCGGGCGGAAGUAGUCCUUUAAGGAGUCCCGGACAUUACGUCAUCACGGGCUCCGCUAAAGUUCCGGAAACAAAAAAAAUUCUCAUCAACAGCGCCACCAGAUCACUAGAACAAGACACAAGGCACGACUCCAAUAUGAACAGCCCGUGCUCCGAAAGAGGUCUUCUAAGUAAUAGUUCCGAUGACAAAACUCUGUCACACACACCGUACGAUGUGCACACAACACCGAUUAGAAAGACACACACACGUCAUAGAUCCUUCGACGGGAAGAACCCUAUAGAAUACUUCCCGAGCGACAUCAACAACGCCAACCAGAACGUAACCCUCAAACACGUCCUCAAGAACAAUGUCAUAGAGAGCAAAACUCAUAGAAUCGAUCCAACGCGUUGCCAAGAUACCAAGAAGACUCAUGUCAGAGUUCUGAGUGAUGGCAAGAAACCGUACACUUCAUCGAUCAAACGUUCGAGCUCGUUCAGCACCGUCAACAGGAACAACAAUCUGGACCCGCGGCUCACAUCCAGGAGGUCUAGCGGACAGUCCGAAGAAUAUAAGGACUAUUCAGACGAAUCUGACAAUGGAUCCUUCGCUAAGACACAAGACGUCAGGCUCAAAAGACCUCUGCAUCGAGAUAGAUUGGAUUAUGACAUUAAGUCCAUAGUCCCAUCGAAUUCGCCGAGAUGUCCGAAUACUCCAGAGAUGCAGAGGAAAUUUGGACCGGGUCUGGUGAGGGCGUCCGGGCGGCACAAGGACCAGAACUCACGAAUGUCCGAACCACCACCGUCUAGAGAAGAGAAGAAACCGGUAAAUCAUCAGAGUCGAAGAAUCACAGAGCCCAACAGACAGACCGUUCUAAACAGAUUGACUAAAUCCAGAUCUUCCACGAGGGAGGUCCAUCCAAAACCUCAGGAGAAAGCCCAAAAGAAGCCAAGUCAGCACCGUUCAACAUCCGGUUUAGCGUCAAAGGAGGUGGAAUUCUCCAAUUGGAAGAAGCGUUCUUCCUACGACCCAAUGAAAGCUGCGCAGGAGGGUAGGAAGAAACAGCAAAUGGUCAGGAAACAGGAGUACAACAAAGAUGACCUGAGCUCACCCAGUCACUCGUCGCCGGUUCAUCGCUCUCAGUCCUUCCACAGUCACAUGUUGGAUUACUCGUCGGAGGAGGAGACUCCGGUGGAGAUGAUCACCUCCACGCACUCCGACAUACUCGGCCUGGAUCUGAGGAGGGAACUGGUCGUCAGUUACCAGGUGAAUCCUCCGCAAGAGAAGAUUAAACGCCGGGAGCAGAAGACGAAAAAAGAAAUCCCAGAUCUAGCGGACAAGAGGAAGACCUUCAUCGUCGACUCUGAUACAAACUCCACAACCAACGGCAGCAGUCCGAGGACCUCGGUGUUCAGUCACAAGAGUGACACGGAAGAUAGUGGCCCCGAGAGCGCGCCCGUCAUGAGGCACGGGAAGAAGAUACAGCAGAAGCAGAGGUACAGCGGUGAUUUUUCAAUGUCCUCAUCAACAACCUCUGUCAGCAAGAAGCCCAAGGAAUCGAUACAGCCGAGAUAUCUCGAUAUAUCCAAGUACAAGUCGGAGAACUCGCCCAAGAACUUCCUGAGGAGGGAUCCGAGCAAGACUUACAUCGGUGUGCUGAAUAACUCGGACAAGAAAGAGAUUAGCAAAGGAAGCGCCCAACACUACGAGAUGGAACAAAAGAAACAGGAACUUGAGAAGUGGAAGCGAAGAGCGUCGUACGACCCCAGGAAGGCGGCGGCAGCGGACAGGGGCAGCAGGAACACCAGAGCGUGACAAAUCACAAAAUGCAUGAAAUUCUGGAUAAAGUGUCACGGGCAGCCAUCUUUGUUAAGCAACGUGCUACGUUCCCAGUCGUUCCACGGGCCGGUGCUGUCGCCGUCCGUGCGCUAUCAGCCGCAGCCCAUCAACGAAACAUACGACGCCUCCAGCGACAACGACUUCUGAACGCUUGACACGUGUCGACAUUACCGCCAAAACAUUCUGUGCAAAUCAGCUUUAAUUGUCAAUGUCAGUUUGACACGCUGCUCCGAUUCGGCGCCGAGACGUCACAUCUGACAUUUUGUUUUAGAAUUGUCUAUGGAUUUUUUUUUUAAUGAGAUUGCAUUCGGAAUUGUCUAUGGAUUUUAUUAUGUCGGAUGUAAUAAAUGAAAUAUAAGAAGCUUUAACCGUGUCUCAGAGACUUCGGGGUACACGCAAGGAGUUAAACUACAGAACGAAGAGGUUUUAAGCCUGGUUUAAAAUCAUAUAAAUAUGAAAAUUUCAAAAUGUCAACGACAUUCAGCGUGUAAACAACAAAUAUUUUUUAUUAUAUAAUAAAUAAUUUUAUUUGCACUGUAGAUUAUAAUUUAAAGUGAUUCGAUCUUAGCGGACUGUUAUAUAAGUCUUGAUUUGUUAGUCGAAUGAAGUUAGAAAAUUCAAGCCAAACUAUUAUAAUGUGCCGCGGUUUGGGGAAGACAAUCGCACAAUUCUCCCGAAUGUUAUCUGAUGAAGUACACUGAAUGUCGGACGGACGUACAGACGGACAGACAGACGGACAGACGGACAGACAGACAGACAGACAGACAGACGGGUUAGAUAGGAAGAGGCAGGAUGAAUCGUCGCGUGGUCUUUGUAACAGACUGAAGAUAAUUUUUUUUAUAUAUAAAUAUAUAUUAAGUUAGUAUUUCUUUGCUCAUUUCAUUCGUACAUCGAUUAAUUUUAUGUUCUUAUUUUAGAGAACGUUUCAGUGCAAUUAAUUUUAAACAUCACAAAGAUUGCAGUUUUUUUAUUUUUUAUUAUUAUUCUAAGUUUAUUUUAUCUCAUGAGAUUUUUUAAGUAUUUCCUGAACGUGCAUUGAAGUGGUUGUUAGCGCAUCCAGCUGAUUGGCUGAUGUCCGGAGCUGGUUCAGGAUGCCGUUGAUAAUGUUUUACUUCAUGCCCUCGGGUGUUGUCAUCGAGUAUGUCCAAGUCAUAUAAAUCUGUAUAAUAAGACAUGCCUAAACGCUGAUGCUGUCCACUAAAAUAGUAUUUUAUAAUUAAUAUGUAAUAAUCAUUUUUUUAUCAUUUUAUGUUGAAUGUUUCAUUUUGUUUUACAGCAAUUAUUUUUUUUUUGUGUAAAAUACUCAUUUAUCCUUAAAAAUUCGUUUCCGUUGAUAUUUGAUGGGGUUUCCGAUUUAUUGAUAAAUAAUUAAAUAUUUUAUUUUCAUGAAUUUUUGCUGAAAUAAUCGAUAUAUUUUUUUUUUUUUAUAAAUUAUUUAAAAAUUAUAUUGUUUGCUUAUAUUUUUAUAUAGACACGAUAUCGAAAUGUACAAAGCGAAGAUCAAAAUACGGCUGACCGAGUCGUCCCGAACAUGAUCUCAAGCAAGAUUGGUAUCUUUAAUCAGCCGCCUCCUUUGUAACACAUUAGUAUUAAGCCUCGCUUAGGUUUUGUAAGUGAAGCUGAGGUAAUACAUCGGUAUUACUUAUUGAUGUUUAGCGUCUCAUGGAAAUAUUGUUAUAUCAGUAAAAUAAACAUUAUUACAAAAUACAA